CCUACGGGUGGCAGCAGUGGGGAAUAUUGCACAAUGGGGGAAACCCUGAUGCAGCGACGCCGCGUGAGUGAAGAAGUAUUUCGGUAUGUAAAGCUCUAUCAGCAGGGAAGAAAAUGACGGUACCUGAUUAAGAAGCCCCGGCUAACUACGUGCCAGCAGCCGCGGUAAUACGUAGGGGGCAAGCGUUAUCCGGAUUUACUGGGUGUAAAGGGAGCGUAGACGGCAGCACAAGCCUGCAGUGAAACGUCGGGGCUUAACCCCGGAACUGCAGUGGGAACUGUGCAGCUUGAGUGCAGGGAAGGUAAGUGGAAUUCGUCGUGUAGCGGUGAAAUGCGUAGAUAUUAGGAGGAACCCCAGUGGCGAAGGCAGCUUGCUGCAGCGUAACUGACGUUGAUGCUCGAAAGCGUGGGGAGCGAACAGGAUUAGAUACCCUUGUAGUC
This 440-nucleotide ribosomal RNA is filed under the name uncultured bacterium. RNAcentral describes it as "partial 16S ribosomal RNA". It matches the Rfam family "Bacterial small subunit ribosomal RNA", at positions 338 to 795 of the family's 1533-position model. The record is from RNAcentral.